Rattus norvegicus (Norway rat) is the source of this 26962-nucleotide non-coding RNA. Lineage: Eukaryota; Metazoa; Chordata; Mammalia; Rodentia; Muridae. The record is from RefSeq and is a predicted model, not a curated record.
GGACACCGCCCAGUUGGCCCCUUUCAGGAAAGCGGUUUCUUUUAAGAGUUCCCCCUAUAGGGAGAGGAGUAAUUUUCUCCCCAAAGGACGCAGCGAUUAACGAUCAAGAUCAGCCUGCUACAUGGGCUUUGGGAUGGAGACAAGGAUUGGAAGAAACAGCCCUUUAACGGCGGCAUUCCUGGUCAGAACUAGUUAUUAGUACUCGCGUCCGGACUUCUGAAGUUAAAAUGGAUAGUCUGAAAGCCGGAGCAACUGCGAGUGAAUUCUAGGACCUGGGAAGUGAAGACGGGAAGAAGCCAGAGGCCAUCUUUGCCUCAUACAAGUACAAGGCCAGCCUGGGCUACCAUGAGCCCAUCUAGAAAGAAGGAGGGGGGAGGAGGGGUGGGGAAAAAGAGGGGGAGGGAGAAAAGUGAGGGAGAGGGAGGGGGCAGAUCUGGAAGGCACAGUGCUAAUGCAUUCCUAUGAAGAAGGUGUUGCAUUCCAAAGGAGGUGGGGGGGCGGGGAGCUCAAGUAGUAAGGUUAUAAGGUUUUCAAGAAGAGAACUCUCUGGUGCAGUGCUGUAGUCAAGGCUUGGGUGAUCUAUGGUCUUAGAUGACCCGAACUCAAGGUUAUCUACACAGGAAGAGAAUUAGACUAAGUUAAGUAUUUGCUGACUUCUAGUUCGUUGACAUCCUGAUGACAGUUCCAAAAUGGAUGAGGAGUCGUUUCCUUACUGAGGAGAUAUCUUUGGGAUGGGUAAGUGAGGGGCCUGCAGUCACCCCAGAGGUAGAGGGGUUUGGGGGGCGGGUUGAGAGCCAAGAGUCAACUUAAGUCCAGGUUGAAGGUUUGCCCACACUCCACACUUUCAGCAAAACUGAGUGCUUUUUGUUGCCGAGGGUUUUCACCUUUCCGUAGGUACUAAAAUGUACCUUUGCAAGGAGAAAUAGUUAGGAUUUGCUUCCAAGUAACCCAUGAUUGAAGGGUGGGGUCAAAACAGGAGAAUUAGACACAAAAUAGCAACUUUGGAACUGGAAAUUGGGGAAGGUAAGAGAUGAGUUCCCGUGGUAUUGCGCUUCUCUGUGUGUAAUCUUCCAUAAUGAAACAAAACUCUGGACUGACGAUCUUUAUGAGACCUAAAUUACCUCUUCUAUGUGCUUUCUUAACAUGAUUCAACUUCUGGGGACUAAGUCAGCACCUCAGAUCUUCUUUCCUUUUUUCCCUAUUUUAUUAAUUCUCUUUAAACACACACACACACACACACACACACACACACACACACACCCCAAAACCUUGCCAGAAAUGGAGACUUAUGUCCCUUCAAAAGAAAAUUCUAAGUGACACUGUUUUCCAAGUCUACUCAGCAGGGCACCAAACAGGGUGUACUCUGAGCUCUCUGCUGGAAACAUUUGCCAGAAGCCACUGCACCUUAGGACAAAGUAUUCUUCAGCUUUAAUGCGAUUAAUUGAUUGACUAAAAUUCCAAGACUCAUUAACUUCCCAGUUAACGAGAAUGAAGAUGAUGGCUGCAGACAGAAAAUGCAUGAGUAAGUAUUCAAAGAAUAAUAAAAUAAUACUAAAUAUUGACCUAACUUCUGAGGAAGAAAGAAAUAAAACUGACAAGGCCAACCACAGCCAACACCAAAACAAAUUACAGAUGGGCUAAAAAGUAAAUCAAAAAUAAUUAGGAGGCACUAGAUAUUAAAUGUUAUUUAAUCCUGCAUGAAACUCAAAGGCAGGAACAGAAAGCACACAACGUUUACAUUUUGUGAUUCUUUAAAACUUAGAUAUUCUGCCAAAAGAGGAACGAAAAAGGUAACCAAAAGGAAAAUGGUAAAUGGACAGGGCUUAAGAAUGGGAAAACCAAUUAACUUGAAGAGUUUUUAGUACGUCAUUGGAAAGAUGGCGCCCAAACAGGCUUUUCAAAGAAAAUGUAAAUUUACUGUAAGGGAGCAGGAAACCUAAGAAGAAUAUGUUCAUCUCUAUAAGAAUGUGUUCAGGAAGAUCACUGCAAUUUUGUGUAUGAAGUAACAGUGAGAAAAAAAAUGGGAAUAAAUCUAAGAAUACAGAUUUACAAAACCUUUGCAAAGAAAUGACCGAACUCUUAAAACCCAUGAAUAAGUGGGCAUGUGAUACUAAUAGGAAGAUUAAAUAUAAAAAGAUACAGUCUCUUAGCAGUAACAAAAUGUAACAUUAAUCACAUCUACCCACAUUACACAAGUCCUGAAGGUUAGAAUAGAGAAUAGCCCAGGCAGUUGCAGUGAAAGAAUAGUUCAAAGAGCCAUGAUUCAGGGACAUAGUAUCCUUUCUGUAUCUCUUCCACAGAGGAAGAAACAGUGCCACUAGGGUCACAGAUGGGACGGGCCCAGGAAGCACAGUUUAUCCAGUGACUUCCUGUGAGUCAGGAACAGGUGUUUUCAUUGCUAACAGACACGCAGAGGGCACCAGGUUAGAUUUCAAUUUGAGGCUCCACACAGUCCACCCUGAAAUCCCUACAUAAGCUACAGCUGUACAAUAUAUGGAACUUUCUCUUAUCAUCAAAUUAUUUGGAUAAAGGGACAGAGAAAGUAUAAAAGUAUACAGUAUUAUGCUGACAGAAGGAUGUGUGAGAAAUGUGUGUGUGAUAAUAUAUAUUCAGAAAAAUAUUUAUUAUAAUAAUGUAUUAAAUAAUGUAUUAUCCCUAAUUAUUAUUCUAAUAAUAUUUUCUAAGUAUAACCUACUCAGUCUGUAUAAUGUUACUUCUAUGCAUUUCAUGGCUGACUAUUUGGUAUUGAACAACCAAAUUUUUGCCCAUCUUCCCUAAGUAAAACUAUUUCUCUUGAUUUCAGCAUUCCUUAUCUGCCUAUAGUUCUUUUUGCAGACUUGAGGUUUGUGGUCAUUCCCUCCUGCGCUUGCCAAUUAGACAAUGCUGUUUUCUUUGUUCAGGCAGUCUUGGGGGAAACCAAGGACAAUACCAUAGCCUGUAUGUUCUUGGAGGCUCUUGGACAGUACUCUAUAACAACUCAAAAGAGGGCUUCUCAUGUCUGGUGUUGGUUUUUUAUUUUGUUUGUUGUUUGUUUGUUUUUAAGGUGGUGUGUGGCUCUUGGAGGAAGCAUUGUCAGCCUAGAUAAAAAGAUUUCACUUGAACUAUAGAUGUAUAUUUAUUUAUACAUACAAACUUAUGUGUAUAAUAGCUUUUCAGGUAAAUGGCUAAUAAAUGACCCCUUAUUACUUCUUCAGAUAUCUUUAUUAUUUUACCAUACUUUGUCUGUAUUUAUCUUCCUGCUUCCUAAUUAAAACUCUUGUUCUCAUAUCCUCAGUCAUUUCCCCACAUUUCCUCUCUAUUGUUUCCCCUCAAUCCCUUCCUCAGCAAGGGUACUUAUGGUGGUUUGCAUGUGCUUGGCCCAGGGAGUGACACUAUUAGAAGGUGGGGCCUUGUUGGAGGAAGUGUGUCACUGUGGGGUGGGCUUGGAGACCCUCCUCCUAGUUCCUCCUAGGAUGCUGAAUCUGUUCAUCGCUUCCUUCGGGUGAAGAUGUAGAACUCAGCUCCUCCUGCACCAGGCCUGCCUGGAUGCUUUCAUGUUCCCGCCUUGAUGAUUAAGGACUGAACCUCUGAACCUGUAAGUCAGCUCCAAUUAAGUGUUGUCCUUUAUAAAACUUGCAUUGGUCAUAGUGUCUGUUCACAACACUAAGACCCUAACUAAGACAGCACCUUUUUACUUUCCUAGUUUUCUGCAGUUACACAGGUACUCACAUCUAAUGUUUUGGAACUAGAAGUCUCUGAUCAAAGAGGACAAAUAAUGCUUGUCUUUCCAUGUCUGGGCUACCUCAGUAGAUAUUAUUAUGGAUUCAGGUCCCAUCCAUGCAUUUACAAAGUUCAUAAUUUCAUUUGUCUUUAUGGCUGAAUAGUAUCCCAUGGUUUAUGUUUUCAUUCUUUUCAAUUGUUGGUUGGAAGACAUUUAUUUUGUCUCCAUUUCCUUUUAUAAAUGGAGCAAUAAAUGGGGCUGAGCAAGCAUUGAUGGAGAAGGACAUCAAGUCCUUUAGGUGUGUGUCAAGAAGGCAUAUAGGUGAGUCCUAUGGAGCACGUUUAUUUUUAGAUAUUUUGAGAAUUCUCCACAGCGAUUUUUCACAGCGGCUGCACCAGUUUGAAAAACCCACCCACCAGCAGUAAAUGAAGGACCCUCUUUCCUGUGUCUCCUCCAGCACUUGUUGUCUGUUGUUUUGUUAAUCUUUGCUAUUAUCACCGACAAUGAGAUUAAGUCUCAAAGUUCUUUUGAUCUGCAUUUCCCUAACUGCUUGGGAUGAUGAACAUUUUGAGGUAUUUCUUAGCUACUUUUUUUCUUCUUUUGUGAACUUUCUGAUCAUUUUCCAUGCCAAUUUUUUGAAUGGGUCAUUUUUGCUUUAUAUAUAUGUAUAUAUAUAUAUAUACAUAUAUAUGUGUGUGCAUUAUAUGUAUAUAUACACACAUAUAUAUAGAGGCUGGAUAUUAAUCUCUGACAUGUAUAUAGCUAGCAGACAUGAUCUCCCAUUCUUUGAGCCUCUUCUUCACCUGGUUGAUUGAUCCUUUAGCUGUAAAAAAGCUUUCCAGUUUCCUGAAGUACCACUUGUCAAUAGCUACCCUUAAUUCUUGGGCAAAUUGGGUCCCAUUCAGAAAAUCCUUUCCUGAACCUAUGUCAUGUAAGGUACUGCCUCUUUUCUUCUCCCAGUUUCAGUGUUUCAGAUUUCACAUUGGGGUCUCUGAUCCAUUUGGACUUAAGUUUUGCAGAUUGGUACAUAUGGGUCUAAUUUAAUUGUUCUGCAUGUGGACAACUACUUUUUCCAGCACCAUUUGUUGAAGACAAGUCCUUUUCUCCACACUGUGUUUUUGGCUUCUCUGUUGAAUACAAAGUGGGCAAAGUUAAAGUGUUACAAUGAGACAAGUGUCACACAAUAACAGUAUUUUUAUAAAAUAUGCCUGGUCUCAGUCUGUGCUGAUUCAUCUUUUGUCAAUUCAGUCAAACACAUCUGGAAAAAGAGGAUCUCAGGUGAGAAAAUGCCUCUAUCACUUUGACCUCUAGUCAAGUCUGUGGGGCAUCUUCUUAUGUGGCUCAGCUCUCUGCAGACAGUGCCUCCCCUGGGAAGGUGGUCCCAGGUUGUAUAAGAAAACAGGAUGAAAAAGGACAUGAGGAGAAAUCCAAUAUGGAGUGUUUCUCCAGGCUUUCUGCCUCCAGGUUCCUGCUUGAAGAUCCUGCCCUGAUUUCUUUAGUAUAGAUAUAUUAUGACCUGGGAGCUAUAAGAUAAAAUACUAUCCCCCAAGUUGCUUUCAGAAAUGGCCUUUAUCACUGCAGUAGAAAGCAAACUAAGGUUUAUAUUUUACAGGUAUGUAUUUCUCUAUUAAAAUAUCAAAAAAAAAAUGUGCUUUGGGAUAUCUUCCAGGAAAUGCAUCUAAAGCCAGGUAGUGGUAUAUACACCCUCAAGCUAAGCUGUUGAGAGGUGGAAGCAGUUACAUUGUGUCAUGGUUGGUUACUGGUGCUAUGAUGAAACACUAUGACCAAAGCAACAUGGGGAGGUUAUUUGGUUUCAACUACAAAGGAUCUGAUGCCUUCUUCUGGCCUCUUCAGACACCUGCAAUCAUGCACACACACACACACACACACACACACACACACACACACACACACACACUUAAAAAUAAAUCUUUGAAAGUAGGGUAGGGCCAGGUUGUUACACAACACGGUAGGGCAUUUGCUUAACAUGGGUGAGACUCGGGGUUGGAUCCUCAGCAACUGCAAAAUAAUAAUCAAUAAUCAAUAAUCAAUAAUAACACAAGGAAGACUGGAAAACAUAGGCUUUCACUCUAAUGGUAGAGAAGUUGAGACUUGAUGCAGCUAUAUGGGAAAGCCAACUCCGGGCACCAACAAAAGCAAGGGAAGGGAGUAAGGACUGAACCAAGAAAGACCUAUUUGAAUGAUUGAACUUCAACAACACACCACAAUGAUAAGCAUUUUACACAAUCAGAACAACAAGGACAAAACAGACACUCAAACGUGAUUCCCUGGCUCCCCCAAAAGACACUGAAUAGACUACAAGCAAUGACCUAAGCCAGCCUGAGUCUCAAAAUCUUCCAUGGAGGACUGUCACUUUCUCAGCAAUGUCCUACAAGUUUUGUCUCUACCCACACCUCCACAAACACAUCACAGAGCGACCACCUCAGGAAAAGGGACGUGGAUGAUGAAGGAAUAGAAAAGGAGAACAGGAGAUAAAGUAACUCCCUGAAGCAUCACUCAGAGGCACAGAUGCCUGACAUUGGCAUCUCAGACCCCAGUGUAGUUCCCAUUGCUUUCAAUUUUGGGGCAAAUUCCUUAAUCCAGAGGGAAGCCAUCAGACUAUUACAUGAGCUCCACAUUCUCCAAAAGUGACUUUUCCAAUUUCUGCAGUGGAUAACAUUUAUAGCUGUGUUUGAGUUAUAUUUUCUGUAUAUUCACUGAAAUUAUCCUAUUACAAUCAAGCAUAAGUUACCCUGAAUGCAGAAGGGGGCGUGCUCACUGUCUCUGAGAACUAAGUGCCAGGAAUAUGUUCCAAGGUGUUCAUUUUCUUUCUUUUCAUUUUGAGACAGAGUUGUUGAUCUUAAGAGCUUGAUCCUCCUCUUGCUCCAGCUUCUUCUACCUGUUGGAAUUUACUGACAUGAGCCGCCAUGUUUGAAUUAAUUUUCCUAUUGCAUUUGAAUAGUGAGUAUCACAGAGAAAUAUACUGGAGCUGAAAUCAUAUAUUAACUCAUCCCUAAACAGUCAUUGAUUUCAUAUCGCUAGACAUCUUAUAGGUGAUUGAGAGAUAUUUGUUAAGUGAAACAACUUGAUUAAACACGGUAUUUAAUUUCCGCAGGUAAAACUGUAUUAAGGUGAGUAAGACUAUGACUAUAUUUCAUUCCUUGCCAGAAAAAAUAAUGUAAAGUUUCUUUUGAGAAACGCGGUCAAUUAAUGCCAUCUUCAGACUGUAGUUAUUUAUUCUUAUCAAACAUGGGGACCUUUAUAAAGUAAAGGCACAGACGUGUUUGCUUUGCAAACAAACAUAGGUGUCCAUCUUUCACCACAGGUCCUAUGGUUACUAAAUUAUUCAGAUGCUAUCUGCGAUCACAAACAAAAGGUUUUAAUUAAGCCUACUGGUAGAAGCAUAUAUUUUGUAGGGCACUCACUAUAUUAUUAAUUACUUCAGAGCACCUUUCUAGACUAUCCCACUGUCGAUCAGAAAGACUACCACAGGGUCAUUGUUAUGAAAGAGGCAAAGGAAAAAAAGCUACACCUUCUUGAGAAGUGCAGUACAUACUGAGCAUGCCCAGAGGUUGUUAGCUGUAAAUGAGGAAGGGACCUGGGAGCAAUGGCAAGGGGCCAGUAGGAAGGAAAGAAGGUAGCUAGUAUUCAAGGGGGAAGUGCAAGAGUGUUUACCAGCAAGGUUAAGAGCAGGAAGGGCUGAAAUGUGCUCUUGAGAUUGUGUAACAGAGGUGCUUUACUGGGAACAAUCUGCACCAAGGUGACCCCCAAAAUCCAGCUGGAGCAUACCUGUCCCUCCCCCACUGCACUUAUGUGCGAAUAGCAAGGGACAUGCGAGUGGGUUGGUUUCUGGAUGCUUCGGUUAUUAACGAAGUGUUAUAUUUUACAUUUUAAAGUAACUCUGAAAAGUGUUCUGACUCACUCGCCUCUUGCUAAUUUCUACAUUCUAAUGCCUCCCUUUUUUCUCAAAUGAGUCACCCCCGAAGUACAAGCAACGUCCUUCUAGAAAGAAAAGUAAAAGUAAGUUGCUACAGUUAGAAAAUGUGUUCUUUAAUUGCUCACAGAAAAGAAGCAUUAAAGCAGAAGAGAAAAACCUCUCCCCCUUCCCCCCAUCAAAAGUGAACAUUUGCUAUUGACAUUCAAAAUGUAGGAACCACAGGAGCGGGCUUCAAAUCCCACAGAACUCAGGGAAUGGGUGAAGGUUAAAAUGAACCAAAUCAACAGAUAGGACCAAAAGUAAUAGAAUAACUUUGAAAAGAAGCCACAGUAUCCAAGCCAAAACAUACAGUCUUAAAGAGUUUAUUUAUUUUUAUUCUAUGUAUGUGUUUUGCUUGUAUACAAGUUUAUGUGCCAUCUGCAUCACUAGUCAGCAAGAAGGGCAGGAGAGGGCAUUGGGUCCCAUGGAACAGGAGUAACAGAUGACUAUGAGCUUCCCUGUGGGUGCUGGGAAACAAACCUGUGUCCUUCGCAAGAACAGUGAGUGUUCUUAACUGCUGAGCCAUCUAUCUCUUCAGGCUUCGAGACCCUGUAUUUACUGAUUCAAUGCACAGACAUAUCUGAAGACCAAAUGCACUUAUCUGGGAGAUGUUGAACCAGGAAAGCACAGAGAACAACCAAAGAGACAAGUUUGGAAUAAUGCUCACUUGAGAAAACCACCACUACGAUUAAUUUAGACUGAGGGAAGCAAGAGAACAUGCCUUGACAUGGAUUCUCAACCGUCUGAAAAAGUCACCCUAUUAAUAACAUGGAAGGACAGAUCAAUGAAUUAACAGUUAUGACAAUAUUCUAUUAUCAAUCUGCUAUGUCAUAUAUGAUGGUGCACCUUUAGUCCUAGCAUUUGGAAGGCAGGGGGAGGCAAAUCUAUGAGUUUGAGGCUAGACUAAUCUAUAGAGUGAGUUCUAGGGCACCAUGGCUACAUUAUGAGACCCUCUCUCAAAAAAAAAAAAAAGAAAAGAAAAGGAGAGAGAGAGAGAGAGAGAGAGAGAGAGAGAGAGAGAGAGAGAGAAAUCCAUUACACACUAGACACUAGCAGAAGUUGACAGAAUUGACAUGUAGGUAUACUGGGAUGCUCAGUGUUGUGGUGAAGCAGAGGUCACUCUGAAAAUACAUUAGGAAGGAAAGAAAACACUUCAAAUGCUGACGCAAAAUGAAAGAAAGGCUUCUUCUAACCAAUAUGUCUGGCAACGCUUGAAGGUAAAAGAGAGAGAGAAGGAAGCCUGAAGCUCAGUAGUGGUUUAGUACAGCUAGAGGCAGAAAGGAGUGAGAGUCAGAGAGUUGUUACAAGUCCAGUUCCCCCAAGGUUCACUCUGCUCGGGGGAGUGGGGGAGCGCUAGGCUUGCACUGUGUCAUCGUAUUCUUUGCCAACAUUUAACAGAGGUGCUGGUGGUCAUCUAGGAGCUUGUCAAGGGAGGGGAUGGACAGAGAGAUGAGAGAGAGAUGGAAGACUGAGACGCAGAGAAUGUUGCUACGCUUCACGCAACCAGUGGACACCAGAUGUGAAGCAGGCUGGGGAGGGUGAAGAGGUACCAGUGAAUUGGGUAUGAUUUUCUAGGGCAAUCAGCCAUGUGUAUAAAUUAUAUGUGUAUGCAUUACAAAGGGGAUUCAUUAGAAUGGCUUACAGUCCACACGGGCUGGGAAGUCCAACAGUGGUCCUCUUCACCCUGGAAAGCCUGAGAAGUUACUGCACGGGUUACAAAACUGAUGCCCCAGCUGUCCCCACCUGACAUGGAGGGUCCGAAGGAGUCCGAGAGGAUCGCUGGUAUUCCAUCCAAAAUAUUCGCCUAUUAGUUCUUUCUAGAUCUAAUAUAUUGGUAAUCUACAUCAACCAGGAGACUAAGAGGGGAAACGUGGCUACAAAUAAGUUUUCAAACCACCGAACAACAAUAAAUAAUUCAGAGAAUAAAGAGGGAAAUAUUACAGCCUCCUGGAAAGUACACAGUAGGAAAAGACCAGUACCUAGCACAGUGCUCUGUCCAAGAUCAAGCAAGGGACAAGCCAAUCUGGUAUCUGCUGAGGUCUCACUCAUGACUGCCUUCUUGCUGCAACCAGACAGGGUGGAAGGGACAAAUGUGUCCUCGCAUGGUAGAAAGGAUGGCGGGGCAUCAGUUUUUAUCUGUAUUUCACCAAGGGGUUUUUCUAGCUCAUCUCUUUAGAUACACAAAGACCAUUACGUAAUCACUGGCCGUGCCGUCGCUGCUACAGCAUACGGUACAGGUGUUCAGCCUCAGAACAACUGACAGUUUGAACCACACAGCCUAGCUGUGCUAUAGGCCGGGCCAUCUAGGUGAGGACGCUAGUGUGAACACAGUGACAAUGUCCAUAGUGACAAAGUUCUUGGGCAGAUCCCCGCUGCUAGUGAUAGUUAUAAAUGGUUUAAGCAACCUCAGACUUAGCGACAAAGUGUUUCAGGAUUUUUGUCCAACCUAGUACAGUGGUUCUCAACCUGGGAGUUAUGACCCCUUGGGGAUGAAGGACCCUUUCACAGGGGUCACCUAAGACCAUCGUAAAACACAGAUCUUUACAUUAUGAUUUAUAACAAUGGCAAAAUUACAGUUACGAAGUAGCAGUGCAAAUAAUUUUGUGGUUGGGGGUCGCUCCAGCAUGGGGAACUCUAAACUAUGUCAAAGGGUCCGAGCAUUAGGAAGUUCGAAAGCCACUGCCUUAGAAAGUACUGAAGACGGAAUUUAAAUCUGCAAUGUUAUCACUUGAAGAUGGUCCUUUCCAGCAAUGCACAGUCAUCACAACUGCAAUAGACGCUAUCUCACUCGGCAGAUAGCUUUACAGAAAGAACUAAGAUUAGUCUAACCCUGACUCAUUGUAGAUGCCUGCCUUAUUCCAUAAUCAAUUUGAUUUCUUAAUGCAGACUCCCUUUCAAAAUAUUAAGUACUAAGAGCGAGCCUAAAUUGAGCGUAGACGUUUCCUCUUUCAUAGCUCACACAGAAGUGGACCUGCACUACUGAAAUGGGUGUAUUUGAUAUUGCGAUAAAGGAAGUGAAGCUACAGUGGGACCAGGAAGAGGCUCUUCAAGAUAAGGACCAUACUAGGAACUUGUUGCCCUCCUCCAUAUAUGGCUUAUAAAAACCCUUCCCUGCUCACUGAGAUGUAAGAGAGCGAAUUCCCAGAUCCGAGAUGCUUUUCCUAGUGAAUCAUAGUGGUGUUGUGUACACAAAACAUGGCAGGAGAAAGAAAUGCCUUCAGAAAGCUUGGGGAGGGUGAGUGGUCACUCAGCAGCCCAAGCAAGUUCUCUAGCAUUACUGUGCACAGCCUCAGCAGCCUGGACCCUGGUGACCUUACAGACACACUGUACCCAACGCCUCAUCAUUAAUGACAUGAUCCUCCUUUCUCCUCUGUUCAUGGGCAACCUUCUCUCUCCAGCCCUGUCCUGGAGGAACAGUGCCCGAUGUGGCUCCCUCCACUUGAGUGACUUGAGUGAAAUAGUCUCCUGUGUCUCCUGUGGCCUCUCCUUGUCAUCAAGUCAACUUCUGGGAGUUGGUUUCCUUCCACCGUAUGGAUACUAGGGAUCAUAUUCAGGUCAUGGGCUUGGUGGCAACUGUCUUUACCAGCAAAGCCAUGUCACUGGCUCCCAAUCUGCAUAUCAGACAGGACAGUAAGCAGGGAUACUUGCUGAAUCCAUAUGUUGUUUCAGACACAGUGCCAGUCGUUCAGAAUUAAAAAGAAAAAAAAAUACUUUCUUAAUUGACCCGAUUACAAAUUUAGCAGAGAAAACGUAUUGUGCUUAAUCCCUGUGUGCUGGUUUGCCUGGCUGCAGGCUGUAAGUACCAGCGUAUGUGCCAGGCCAGCCAAUGUUCAUCCCAAAUGCUGGCCACUUAGAAGUCCUUCACCAAACAUUGUCCAACAAACAAGUUCAUUGCAGAAACUUUAAGGAAUUCUCUUUUCUUUUUACCCUUUUUAAUACUUAAAAACAAUCUUAGAAGCAGGAGCAGAUUUUAGAGAGCACCUUCAGUCGUUAUAAACAUUGUCUAUUUUCAUGAAAUCAACUGAAUUCUAACUCCAAACGCCUUUGCCACCGAGCUGGCAGAUGAUUAAGUCUGGUCAGUUAGGAGCUGGACCCUUCUCAGGCACCACUGAGUCGGGCAGGUCCAGCUGAGAUACAGGAAAUAAAGAACUCACUUGUCUGUCAAUCUGCUCUAAGGUUGGGGCUGUCCUGUCAAUCUCUGCUGUGUAGGAUUCAAAAUUCUGAGCCAAUUGUCAGAAGCCACCUCCCAGAGUCCAUCCCCAAAACACCUGGACGGAUUUGCUUCCUUUGGUCAAUACUAUACACCUCCCUCAGUGGAGCCUCUUGGACCUACUUCUGAGUGAAACCAGAAAGGGGAAACUUACUUCAACUUUUAUUAUAUCUUUAUGUUUAUGCAUUUUGAUUCUGGAAAUUACCCAGUUUAAAAAUAGGUCUGUUGGCACACACAUCUGUAAUCUGAGAACGUGGGAGGCUGAGCCUGGGAUAUGGCUACAGAUGUACAUAGAAAGAAAUCUGGGUUCCCCAGCCCUACACACACACACACACACACACACACACACACACACACACACACACACACACACACACACCUCAACCAGAUUGAUUAUUUUACAGAAGACAGAUAGCCCACUCAGAACAAUACAGCUCAGAGCUCUAACAACUUGGACCCUGAUGUUUUACGCAGAAAUAGAAACCCUGACUAAAACAUCUUGUCAACUAAACCUAUCAACAUAUGAAAUUUUAAAUGACUUAAACAUAACUCAGUAGCAGAGGCUUCCACCUUGCUAAUAGCUGAGAUCCAGGUUGCAAGGGAUAGGAGGAUUCCAAGGAGUGUCCUGCAUGUUCAAUGUCAUUGGGUAGAAAAGUGUCUCAUCCAGCUGGACUGAUAACCCACAGUGUGAAGCAGAGUUUGAGCCUGGCAUUUAGAGGAAUCUUAGGAGCAAGCCCUGGGUUCAAAGGUCAUCUCAAAGCACGCUUUACACUCUUGAGUGGCAUGAAGUGUGGUGGUGCACCCUUGCAAUGCAGACAAUGGUGGCCUUUACAGUAGCAGGAUGUCUGCAAGCGGUAGAGGUACACACCAGUGAUACUAGAACUUGGAAGGCUGAGGCAGGAAGGUUACAGUUCAGCGGCUGCCUGGGCUACAGUAGUGAGUUCCGGGCAAGCCUGAGAUGUGAGAGCUUGUCUCAAGAAACGGAACCACCGAACCAAUAACAUCAUAAUUAUACAGAGAAUAAAGUUAUUUACCAGGAUACGCGGUGGACUAGGGGGUGUGGCUUAGUGGGAGACACUUGUUUGGCACACGCGGAUUUGAUACUCAGAACCACCAAGCAAGACAAGGCGUGGCAAACUUGAUUUGGGGACUUUAUAUUCAUUUAUAUUUGCUUAUUCAGUUAUCUACUCUUUUGUCAUGGACGAACCUUCCAAGCCUCAGAGAUUCCAUUUUGGAGAAGUGACAUGGCUAAGGAGCUUAUAAGGACGUCUGAAUGUGGCGGUGUACCCUUGUCAUCCAGUACCAGGGAAACCAAAGUGACAGAAAUGCAUGCUCAAGACAAAGCUGGGUGACAAGUUAAGACCCCAGCAAGCAAAGAAGAAACAAUGUAUACAUUCUGUUUGCUCUGCCCUGCUUGCCGUAUGAAAACUAACCAAUAGGGAGGACUCCUCCAGAUCAACACCAGCUUGAUUUCUCUGUGUCCUGUGACCUGCAUGUGUGAUGUCUUCAGCAAGAGGGUUUUGCCAUCCAAUUCUGGUGGAUAGCCAAGGACAAUGAAAGUAGCCUUAUUGUUUGGAUGGUCUCUGGGACAACUCUGACCAACGACUGAAAGGGAGUUAUUUGACACCUGGCAUGGGGAAUUAUCUUGCAAUUGUGAUAUCUGGGAGAAACAUUAUUCCUCCAUCCAUAGUACCUCUAUUCCAAUCCCAAUUUUUUUUUAAAUUGUGUGUUUUCAUGAGUGGCCUAUUUGGGUUUAUACUACUGUGAUAAAGCACCAUGACCAAAAGCAACUUAGAAUCUUUUAAAAAUGGUUUAUUUCAUUUACACAUAUCACAGUCCAUCACUGAAGGAACACAGGGCAGAAACUCAUGGCAGGAACCUGAAAGCAGGAACUGGAGCCAAAACCAUGGAGGGGUGCUGCCUCCUGGCUUCCUCGCCAUGUCUUGCCCAGCCUGCUCUAGUUCAUCUAAAGAAGCAAGUGUGGUAGAAAUUUUUUUAAACAUUGAAAAUAAAGAAAUGAUGGAAGAUUUGGCCUACUAAAUAUUACAUUUCAUAAGAAAGUAGAAAUAGAAAAAGAGCAGACAGCACUGCUGUAAGGAGUGUUGGCUAAGGGAAUGAAGUCAAUAGAUCUAAAACACAUUAGAUGUCUGUGAGGACGUGCGGCCACUGAGGAAGUAUCAUUUGUCAAUGAGGAAGAAAUGGCUUAUUAAAUGUAAUUUUGAAGAAAUCACAAAUUAUUACAAAGGUCAAGUUCCUCAAAUUAAAGUAAACAUCACAAUCGCUUUCAGGUAGAUGAAGGAAUCGUGUGUAAAACAGAAAAAAAAAAGGUAGAAGUGCUUUCUGGGUAAAAAUUUUAAAGUUCCCCAUAAAGAUUACUACUCCGUAUUAAAUGGAGUAAAAAAAAUUAAAUUUUUUAAGUUUGUGCAUAAAAAUAGGCUAAAACACUAUCUCAUAAAGAGCAUAUUUGCAAACAUUAUCUCGCAAGAGUAUAUUUGCAAAUUACACGGUAGUCAGGGCCUAUUAUUCUCUUACUUGUUUUUUCCUGUUUGCUUUGCAUCAACAAACACAUCCUAAUUUCCUGCCAAUACUGUGUAAGAAUUGGAGGGCCAUGGCAGCUUCCAUUGCUACAGUGAUACCUGGGAUACUUUUGUCAGUCCUAGAGGAAAUGUGUCCUCUGUUACCCUCCAGUUGUUGGAUUUAGAAAGGCUGGAUUUAAGAACCCACUAGCUAUUCUUGCUGGUGUCCUUGGGUGAGAAACUUGCGUGGUCCUAUUUGGGGACUCAUCUGCUUUGUCACUGCCUAGGAAGUAAAGAGAUCAAUUGAAUGAUUAAUUACAGUGCAGUAAUGUGUGCUGGCUAGUUUUAGGCCUCGACAAGUUAGGAUCACUUGAAAAAAGGCCUCCACUAUAUUGGCUUGGGGGCAAGUCUCUGGUACAUGUUCUUAAUCAAUAUGAUUGAUCUGGGAGAUUGGUGUGUAUGAGAAAUAAACUCUACUGACAAGAGGGUUGGGGUGGGGGAGGAUUACAAGGAGAUGUUCCUGUUUCAGUUUGAUUUUGUGAGCCUGGACCUCAUGUAGUCCCAGCUAGCUCCAGAUCACUUUACUCCUGCUUUGGCCUCUUGAAUGCUGGGACUACAGAGUCAUCACCACACCAGCAUAGGCAUAUUUAGAGGUGACAGAAACCUUCUAAACUUUACUAUGGCAGUGGCUGAGCGGACAUGUGGAUGUACUGAAAACCGCUGAUGCGCGAAGUGGGUGAGUGGGAUGUGUCCCAGUUUGCUUUCUGUUACUGUGAAAAACAUCCGGGCCCAAAGUAACCUGGGGAGGAAAGGGUUUAUUUGGCAUACAGGUUACAGUCCACUACCUAGGGAAGUCAACACUGGAGCUCAAGGUAGGAACCUGGGUGUAGGAAGUGAAACAGGGGCUAUGGAAAAUUGCUGCUUACUGGUUCUCCUCAUGGCUUGCUUGGGCUUCUUUUUUAUCCAGCCCAGGGCCAUCUUUCCAUGGAUGGCCCCACCCAGUGUGAGCUGAGCCCUCCCACAUCACUUAGCAGCCAAUACAAUAGCCCCACAGACGUGCCCAUACUCUUACUAGGUGGUCAGCACAGUGUGGUUUGUGAACUGUAUGUCAAUAAAACUAUUUUUAAAGAUGCAUGUAUGAUAAAAAUGAACGUGUGAAACAGCACAAAAGGAGAAAGGACGUAGCAAAAACUUCCUAAUCGUUAACCAGCACCAUGAAAUAAACUAGAAUGGUGCUUUCAGCUUUAAACUGCUAAAACGAGACAUGAAGGUAGGUAAUCAGCUGGAAAAGAAAUCUACUGGGACACAGACUCUCAGAGGUUUCAGUCCAUGGUUGUUAUAAUCUCUGAUUCUGCAAACAUAGCUACAGAAAAAACUGCAACCUUCAUGAAGUCUGGAGAUAAAAAGAGAAAGGAAGGGCUGAGUCCCCAGUAUCCCUUCAAGAGUGCACCCCCAAUAACCUUACUUCCUUCUACAAAGACCUCCGUCCUAAUGCUGGGACCCUUUACAUGUUGUGAUAACCCCCACAUUGUUACAUCAUAACUGUAACAUUUUGCUACUGUUAUGAAUUGUAAUGUAAAUAUCUGAUACUCAAGAUAUCUGAUAUGUGAACUCUGUGAAAUGGUCCUUCAAAUACCAAAGGGGUCAUGACCCCCAGGUUGAAAACUGCUGUUCUAAAAGUAACAGCUAGAUAGAGUAACAGCUCGAUGGAGACCUUCCUUCCAAACAAGAACCUUUGGGAUACAUGUAAGAGCCAAGCCUUGAUAGACAAUGUGUACAUGAUACUGUAUAAUGUGACUUGAGGGCAUAAGAUACUGUUAUUUGUGUUCAACUAAAUUGUUUCUGCAACACAUUUAACUACUAAUUUUAUAGUUAAAAGAAGAUACAUAGUAGAAAAAUGUUAAGCUCUGUUUUUUUUUUAAUCAAGAAAACAUUUAACAGUAUGAUUUUCAAAGAAAAACUCAGGUCCUAUAAGUGAAAAUAUUUAUGUUCCUUGACUUUCUCUUUUAUUUACUUCCUCUUUAAAACACAAGUAAUAUAUUCAUGGUGUGCACUUCCUGUGGUAAUCCACAGCUAUUUACAAUUUUAAUUUCUCAUGUCACUCAUUCCUAGGGUGGGAGCUGAGUGAUAGUCAUCUUUGAAAAGCCUUUCUCCUUGCAAUCUGAACUUGAAAAUCAAAGGGAUGAUUCAGUCAUCACUGCCAUAAACAUUAAGCAAGUUAUCUUUGAGCGGCUGAAUUACUUGGACUGGAGAAACACUAUAAAUAUUUCUAAUACAUCCUUGAAGUCACAACGGUAGAUUUUUUUUUUCCAGGCAGACCUUCCUCUCAAAGCAUAGUGUCAGCAAUACAAAUACAGUGUUGGCCGUUAUGCUUGGAUGGGAAGGUGUCCUGGAACUCUGAAGCCCCAGCACCACUCAACUCUAAGGUAGGACAAUGUUCCAAUGGAAGGACAACCUGAGACACAGGAACCACAUAUCUCUGAGAGGAAGCCUUCUUAGCAGAGGCAGUGCUGCUCCCAGGAGAAGAUAUCUGGGGCUGAGCUGAGGGACUCAAGAACCUCAGACCCCAUAUUUAUUUUCUCUUCUUCCCUUCUUGUCUUCUGAUGAGAGAGUCACAUCAGUCAGUAAAUCUCAUAAAAGAGAUUUACUGGAGGGUCGGGGUUGUGGAAAGCCGAAUCCAGGAGUGGCUGCCCCUGCUCCACAGAGAAAGCAGACAGCUGAGAAUUGGACAGAGUGCUGUGCUUAUACAAGGGGUGGAGCACUUGGGGGUGGAGCUUUCUAGGGUAAAAGUUUCCAGGGUGAGGAUUCAUGGGAUUUCAAGUCCUGACCUUGGGGCAGCUCAGGGAUUGGUGGGUUUUCCUAUUCAGAGAUUAGUGGCUUUUGUUCACAUUUUUUACCUAAAAUUAGCAUAAUCUGGGGAGGGUCCUCUUGAGGGGCUGGAGCCUGACCACUUGGCUGCCUGAAUGGUUUACAAAGUGUACAAAGUUUACAAUGGAGUCCGCAGUCGGGAAGCCUUCCCUACCAUCUGAGUGACACAAAUAUCCACAUAUAUUCCUAAAUACAACCUAUGACCUGCUCAGUCAGUAUAAUGUUGCUUGCAUGGCAUGUAUGUUUUUAGGGCUAGCCUUUUGGUGUUGAAUAGUCACUGGCUAUACCAGUUCCUGGCGAAAACUAUUGUGGAUGAUAGUUUUGCUGAGUACAGUAGUUUGGGCUAGCAUCUGUGUUCUGACAAAAUUUGUACAACAUCUGUCAAGGCCUUUCUGGCUUUUGGUGUCUCCAUUGAAAAGUCAGGUGUUUUUCUAAUACGUCUUCCUUUAUACGCUUAUGCUUCUGACCUUUUCCCUUCCAUCAUUUAAUAUUCUUUCUUUUUUCUGUACAUUUAGUGAUAUCAUUAUGUGUUUUGUGGAGUUUCUUUUCUGGUCUAAUCUAUUUGGUGUUCUGCAUGCUUCUUGUACCCUUAUAUGCUACUCCCUCAGAUUAGGGAAAUUUCUUCUGUGAUUUUGUUGAAAAUGUUUUCUGUGCCUUUGGCCUGGAUUUUUUUUUCUCUUACCGCUAUUCCUAUUAUUCAUAAUUUUUUCUAUAAUGUCUCAGACUCCUUUUUUUUAAUUUAAUACUUCCCUUGACUGGGUCUUUCAUUUCUUUACCUUGUUUUCAACCCCUCCAAAUUUCUAUUUCAUCCCCUUUUCUCUUCCAGUUCUAGUUCAAUUUGUGUUUUCUUUGGCGACCCUAUUUCUACUUCCGUGUCUUGAAAUGUUUUGUCAGUUCAUCGCGUUGUUUUGUUCUCUCACAGAGUUCAUGGAGGGAUUUAGUCCUAUACUCCCUAAGAAUCUUUAGGAUAUUCGUAACGGUCUUUCUGAAGUGCUUGUCUUGUGCUUCAGGUAUAUCGCAUUUCUGUGGGCCUACUGCAGUUGGCUUACUGGGUUUUGGUGGUGACAUAUUGUCUUUGAUGGUAAUGGUUGUGUUUAUGUGAUGGUGUCUAGGCAUCAGAGAUGAGCAUGACUGGGAUGCUAAGUGUUGAUAUCACCUUCUUCCCUUUGUUGGAGUGUUCCAUCCCUAGGUUUCUGAGGGCCUCUCUGGAUCUUAGGGAAGUGAGGUGGCUAUGGGUCACCUGAUAGGGAGAGCUUCUGCGUGCUGGAGGAUAACAGAGGGAACUAGGGGUGGUUUAGGGAAGAAUGUUGAAAGAGGCUUCAUGAAAGAGCUGAGGGGGAUUCUGUUCACAUCAAGAGGUGGUGUCCACGGGGAAUUGGAGGUGUAUCUGGAGGAGGAGAUCCUGGAAGUAGGGCACAUUACAUCACAGAAUUAUUUGGAGAGAUGGGAUGAAACGGCUUAAAAGGGUCCUGGGUCUGCACGGAGAGUUGGAGUCUCCAGAGAAUGAAGUUGAGGUAGGAGGAGAGGGCAUCUGCCAGCAAGCUGUUACCAGGGUGAGGGUGAGAAUGGAAAGAUGCUAAUGGAGGACAGGAAGUAUAAUGUGAAUGGCCUGGAGUAGUUUCUAGGUGUGGUACUGGGGGACCCAGGUAGAAGAUGGUUUUAGGUAUUUGGCGGUGACAUGAAGGAAAGGGAGUGGACAAGAAGCGGGGCUGAGAACAUCUUCAGGGGACUGCGGGUGUCUUCCGAAAGGAGGAAAGCUAGGUCCACCACAAGAUUCAGUGGAGCCCUCAGGGAACCCAGGCAGAGUAAGAGGACAGGCCUCUGUUGGUAAUCUGCUAUAGGACUGGGAACACGACUGGGGAAUUGCAAGGGAGGGCAGGCAGGAGCGUGAAGAUGGCCUGCCUGCUUCCCUGGACGAAGUUUGGUUUUCACAUUGGUGUCCCACAUUUCCUGAGUGUGUGUGUGUGUGUGUGUGUGUGUGUGUGUGUGUGUGUGUGUGUGUGUGCGUUCCAUAUUCUUUGCUUGGAUGGUCUAGGUCUUCUAUUUUUAUCUUUAUGUCCUAUUAUUAUAUGUUGUGUUUGAUACAUUUGACUUUUAAGGAUUUCUCUUUUAAUUUUAUUUUUGAUAUUAUAAUUGCAUUCCUCUCCCUUCCCUCCCUCCUUCCAAACUUCCCCAUAUUGCCUUCCCUCCUCUCCUUCGAUUCAUGGCCUCUUUUCCACUAAUUAUUAUUGCAUGAUUAUAGAUGAAUGCCUAGAAAGAUAGAUGGAUAGAUAGAUAGAUAGAUACAUACAUACAUACAUACAUACAUACAUACAUACAUACAUACAUAAAAUUAGAGGCUUUGGCAGAAAAUUUUAGUAAGAAAUCAAUACCCUAUAAGCAAUUCUUCACUGACCAAGUAUUAAGGGUUACUCACUACCUAUAAGUAGACCUGUUUGAUGUGUUGCUGUUGUUGUUGUCAUUGUUUCAUAAUUCAUUUCUAUCCCUAUUCUUGCUGCCUGUACAUCAGUAUGCAUUUAUGUACUGUGAAGGAAGGGAUGGGCGGAAAGAAGAGACUGGAAGACAUGAGGGAGGAGAAGGAAUCGGAAGAAAAGAAAUAUCGGGAACCCACUACUGUCUCAGUCUAUCAUCUGCUAAAUUUAAACUCAAACAGUGGUGGGAGGCAGGAGCUCUGCAGAACUCAGCAAUGCAGAAGGAAAACUCUACAGAGGGGCCGACCUCUCGGUCACCCCGCUCUCAGUUCCUAUGUCUUUACUGUCCCGUUUGGGAUACAGAAGGAGCGAAAGCGUUGUCAGCCCAGAGGACAAAGAACAAAGGAAAAUGUCACACACUUGGAGUCCUUAUCUUAAGAAAACGUAGCUUUGUGAAUUACCUCUGGGUGCAUGAUGACCACAGAACAAAGGCAGACUAACAGUUCACAUUUGCCCACGGUAGCCUUAACAAAGCGAUGUUUUCAAACAUGAGCCACAACCUCAUGGGUGUGAAGAAAUCAGUCUUAGUCCAGUAAAAGUGCUUGCCACUGAGGUUGGAGACAUGAGUUUAAUCCCAGAACCCACAUAGAGAAAGGAGAGAAACAAGUCCUGCAAGUAGUUCCCUGACCUCCAUAGCAUGCCACGGUGUGAACUCUGUCUGUCUGCCUGUCUGUCUGCCUGCCUGCCCCUCUCUCUCUCUCUCUCUCUCUCUCUCUCUCUCUCUCUCUCUCUCUCUCUCUCCUUCCCUUCCUCCCUUUGUCCCUCCCUCUCUUUUUCUCUCUCUCUCUUUUUCUCUCUGUCUCUGUCUGUCUCUCUGUCUGUCUCUCUGUCUGUCUCUCUGUCUCUGUCCCUCUGUCUCUGUCUCUCUCUGUCUCUGUCUCUCUGUCUCUGUCUCUCUGUCUCUGUCUCUCUGUCUGUCUCUCUGUCUCUCUCUGUCUGUCUCUCUGUCUCUCUCUGUCUCUGUCUCUCUGUCUCUCUCUCUCUCUCUCUCUCACACACACACACUCACAAUACACUGAUACACACAUGAAUAAAUGUAAAUCUGAUUUUAACAAAAAAAAAUCAGUUUGAUAGGUUGUGACUAAGGGGUUUUUGCUAGUUAGUUCAUUUUGAUUUUGGCCUUUUGAGUCUCCAUGCAACUGGGAUGAUCUGCUGAUGGCUCCCAUGCCUGACCAGGGGAAGUUUAGUUUUAUUUACUGUUUCUUUGCUUUUAAAACUGCAAAGAAUAUUCGAUCUGGCCACAGCCACACCUAGGAAAUCUGGGACUAGGAUCCAAAGUACCCAAGUUCUUGCCACAUGCUUCUUUAUUACCACACCAUCCAUCUGCAUUUGUCUGGUUCCCUUGGUUGAUAGCCUUCUUAACUGUGGACACAAUGGCUAAAUGCACCGAUAUUGUUAUUUAUAGCUCCUUUAAAUUGUUUUGUCACCUUGUAUCUUGUUUGUGGAGACAAUGACUACACCUAACCCAUACUAGCUCUUACAGGCAAAUGUUACCCUUUGUCGAAAAUUCAUGUGUGAACCUCUACAUUUCCUGGAGAAGGCCUGUGAAGGGGGUCAGUAGAUUGUCCUCCGUUCCACUCACGGAAUUCUCCUUGAGUCCUUAACAUAGCUCAACCGGUAUGGUUAUGAUGAUAGGAUGCAGAGGGAGAGGAGAGAAGCUAAGGAGAGACAAAGAGAAGAUUCAACCAGAUACAGCCAGAAAGCCCCAUGGAAAACCACACUGCCAAAACUCCUUUUGAUUUCCCACCACUGUUAAGACAUUAAGCUUGUAAUGGAAGCCUUUAUCAAACCAUUGACAAGCCAGACCUAGUGCAAUCUUAACUGCUCAGAAUGCUUAGGUGGGAGGAUCACAAAGUCAAAGCCUACAUGGAGAACUUAAGAAGUUCCUGUUUCCAUUUUUAAAAUAAUAAUGAUAAAAAUACGAGUUUUAAGGGCUGGAAUGUUGAUCGGUGAUAGAUUGUUUGCUUCGCAAGGACUCAAUAGAAACCCUGUAUUCAAUCUCCAGUCCAGCAUUAGUCCUCGAGCAGAAAGGGUUUCCUAUUGUUAUCGCUGUCCUUACAAAAUAUUUUCUGGGUGUCCCCCACGUCUGAAGAUCACUUCCUUUUUAUGUGUAAUUAUAUUUGCUUCCUGUUUAUUUCCAGUUAAUAAAGAACUCCCCAAAGAGAAUGGGAACCUAUUUCAAUAUAGAGGUGCUUGGAAUACCUUAGGAUUCGAUAAAUAUUUAUUGAAUGAAUGAAGCCACACAGUCAAUGUAGAAGGUGUGACAAGCAACUUUUCCAAAUAUAGAGGAGAUGAUUUAAGCUCUUCUUCCACAUCCUUCCCUGAGUUCAUGUCCCGGUUGAUAUAUAUUAGAAAAUAUUAUUUUUCCUUCCUAAAUGGCAAAAACAUGUUGCAAAGAUGAAUAGGCCAAGUGCAGCCCAAGAAUGUGACCACAGAAGACUUGAGUAAGCAUAGACGCCAUACUAUAGUGGGAACCAAAAUGGUUUCACAUGUGGACCUACCUGGGACAUAGGACUGCUUAAUGAGCUUUUUACACUCAUCACAUUGAUACAUCCAGUACCUCAAUGCCAUCUCUACGAACCUCCAAUCCAGUCCUGGAAAUGUGAAGUUAGUUCUUGCAUGUACCAAAGUUCAAGUUUCUUACACGGGGCAUGUUCUACAAAAAAAAAACUUUUCCUGGGGAGACAUACCAUGCGCAUCUACUCACGCUGGAGAGAGAGCCCAUGACAGACUAAUGUAAAAUAGUUUGGUGAGGAGGGUUUACUGUGAGGGACAUGAGUGAGGAGUAAUUUACAGGCGCUGAACCAACUCAGAGACAGCUCCCUUGCCAAAGAACAGCUAAGCACGGCUGUCACCUCACCAAACUGGAAACCUGCAGCAUGCUGCCUAGCCCGCAGGCAACUCAACAGGUUGAAGAGUGUCCUCGCCAAGUGACUCAGUUGAUCUAAACCUCUUCCGGGAAGCUUGGUAGGGUUCUGUUUCUUUUCAGAAGCUGCUCCGGUCUCAGAGUCUUCUUUGCAGUUUUGCUGUCUUUAUUAUUCUGUGGAAAGGAGGGGCCUAGUGAAUCUAGUCUGUUUCAUGAACUUCCUAAAGGUGUUUUUGAGUUGUUUCCCUACUGUCUUAAGGAGCUUCCCUGGACAAUGGGAUGUUCCAGUGAAGGAGGAACCUGCUACACAACAGCGCCUAACGAUCUUGUUGGCUCCCAGACUCCUUAGUAACCCUGUCAAGAUUCAGAGUCAUAGGAAUAGAUGAUGAAAAAUGAGAUCUUCUUUGAGGUGAGGAAACAUCUCCCCUGUCCCUGUACUAGUUACUUUCCUCAUCGCUGUGACAAAAAAGCUGACUGAAACAACUUCAGAGAAGGAAGGCUUGUCUUAGUGGUGGCUUUGGAACCAGUCAUGGUUGGGUGGGCAUGGCAAAAUGGAGUGGUUUACAUAAUGGCCAGCCAGACUGCAGAGCAGUCGCCUAGGUGGCUCUCAGUGAGGUCAGGUUCAAAGGGAAGAUUAACUGCCACAGUACUGUCUCCUCUUCAGGACGUGGUAAAGCCUAGGAUGGGGCAGAAGGAGAAGCGUGAGUUAGUGGAGUGACGCAAGCUGCCGUCAGAGUAACAGGAAAACUUCCACAGUAGCAAAAGGAGAAGACAAUCCAAAACUCCACUAGGGACACAACAGCCGUUGCUCCUUCUAUGGUAAACUCAGAUCGGCACAUCAGGCUUUGGAAGAGGUGUCCCUCCAUCACAGAAACCACCAAAGUGCCAGUCACUUCUCAGGAAGGGAGCCAACUGCCCAUCUUCACUCCUCUUUUAUCUAUCAGACUCCACACUGCUGAAUAGGUGUUCCGGGUAGGUAACUGGCAUCUCACGGGAGGGGCUUAUGGAGACGUGACUUAAAGGUUCUUCAUGCUGACACUACCUCUGUGUCAUUCCCUUCCACCAAAUAGAGAUUGAGGGAAGAACUCAUUCCAGACGUGAGGGGAGCCAUGGAUCAAAGCCUUGUGUGAGAGAGUGCAAACAAGCAUGUGUUUACUCAGGCAGUCCAAAAUCAAAAGAUGAUUCCCACUCACCCAUCAUCCAUCGUCCAUCUAAAUGCAAAAGGUGGAGUGCCACAUGUCCUCCUGGAAAGAUCCCAGGGUCAAGAACAACCUUCAUUUAAAAAUAGUCUGGGACUUCUUAAACUGUAUCCCUCAACACUCUAGUUUGUAGCUUGCAGCUGGAUAUUUAUGUUGGAAACCAAACAACUAUCAUCCCAUAUAGGUUUUGCUUGCUAGGAAACUAUAAAAUCCUAAGACAGAAAAACACGAAGUCAUGUACAUCGUUGUUUUUAACAGAGCAAGAUGUAGUAUGAUUGCAUCAGAAUGUUCAGGAAAACGCAUUCACUGUGUGCUGAGCACCUCCCACGUGCUAAAUAAAUACUUGUUGACUGAAUGUUUGGUGUUUUGCUUUAUGGGAAGAAAGUGCCUUUCAGUGAGGACAGUGUGUGCACUUGAAAUUUCAGGAGCUUGAAGAAACAGUUCAAUGCCAAGAUAUUUUGAAAUGGCAGUAUCAGACACAUUGCUCGUGCCUUGGCUACUGAUAAAGCACACAGCAAAGGCAGUGAAAGGCCUAGGUCUCUGGAGAACACUCAACUUCUGAUAAGUUUGUUUUUGUGAAUGCAGGUAAAGAUAAAAAGCGGCAGAACUAGUUUAUUCUGCUCCUUUGGCCCAGAAGUAGGGGUUUUAAUAGACUUUUGUUUUGCUACAGGACUCUUUUCAUGGGGGAUAGAACCAAACGGUAGAGUGUCUUCCCUGCCAUGUGCAAGGCCCUGAGUUCUAUCUCCACCAAGGCACUGUAAAAAAUAAAAUGAAAUAUUAUUACAUGAAAAUAAUGCCUGGUAAGUUUUGGCACAAGCUCUCAUGCUAACAUUUACAGUUGCAUGUGAUCAAGGACAGGAAGGGACAGUUUCCCUUUAGGAUUGCUACAGAAAUUUGUUAUGGUAUGGUUAAAGGGCCUGUUAAAAUAUCGAUAUCAAAUAAAUGAUAAUUGCUGUUACAAUUGUUUAAAAUGAUUUCGAGAUGUUUAAGAGGACAAAAUGUAGGACAGUCAUAACAUAAAAAUGUAUGUUACUGCACAAAUACUCACACACUUACAUAUUCACACCCACACAAAGACAUAGUCAUACUCCAAACUCACACACAUAUUCACACACUUGUACUUACACACACACACACACACACACACACACACUCACGCACACACACGCAUGCACACCACAUGGUUAAGGCAAAUCCACUCACGAUUACUUCAGUAUGCCUGCCUUUCUUAAACAGAAGAGUGUACAGCUCACUUUGUUUAAUACGUCAAGGGAAAAGAAAACUGCAGAUAAACUUUCCUAGUUAUACUUGAGUGGUAAACCUCCACUUUUCUCAUCAGUGUUGAAGAAAUGCAUGCUUUCUAGUCCUUGGACACUAAUAAAGUCUGAAGGCUUAAUAAAGUAAGUGUUUUGUGUAAUAAGUGGCUUUAAAUCUAACUAUUUCCAUUCAUAAAUACGUUCAUGGUUUCAUAUAACAAUAUAGUUGUAGAACAAUACAAGUGACUUAUGUAAAUGCUUCCAAAGGUGCACAGACAGACUUUUCAAGUUCCAUCAUGCAAUGCUGACCCCUCCCUUUCCCCCACUGAUUUUCCUCUUCUCCAUGUUACUCUGGGUAGGUCCUCACACAGACCCAGCCACCCAGAGGGCUGUCCUCCAGGAAGACCCUCUCAUAAUCUCGCCCCUACCCUCUGCCUUUUCUACAUAGGUCACCUUUCCUUCUGCUUUUGCACUCAACUCCACCUGAGGCAACUUGUCACUGUGCACUGCUGUUGUCACUUCUAGUAAUUUUGACAUCUUUUGAAUUUCCUCUUUCAGCAUUUACUCAACUGUUAUAAACACACAUGUACACACACACACACACACACAGAGAGAGAGAGAGAGAGAGAGAGAGAGAGAGAGAGAGAGAGAGAAGAGACUGUGCAUUCCUUCACGAUGUCUCAGCCCUUCUCAGUGCUUCCCUUUUUAGAAUGAACUAAGAAAAUAAGGCAAACCUUUUUAAUUAGCAGGUUAGCAUAGGAUAGAUUGCUGGAAGCCUCUUGGACCUCCAUCUUCCCUACUUCUAAAGAGGACAAUGAGCUGAACCACUUGAAGGAAGGAAGGAAGGAAAGAAGGAAGGAAGGAAAGAAGGAAGGAAGGAAGGAAAGAAGGAAGGAAGGAAGGACAAAGGAGUGAAGGACAAAAGAAGGAAGGAAGGAGGGAGGGAGAAGGAAGGAAGGAGGGAGGGAGAAGGAAGGAAGGAAAGAAAGUUUAAAGAACCAGUUCUGAGAAGCAGUUUGACUGAGGAUAUAUGAGUUUAUAGCUCAGCUUCUCCAUUCCCAGCCUACUAACUGCCUUAACUGUGUCUCCUGUGUGCACUCACUGGGACACACAUGUGCAUGCAUACACACACACACACACACACACACACACUCACAUAUACACAUAUACUCACACACAAUCACACACUCACAUAUACACACUCAUACACACACCACAGCUGACACACUCACACCCUCACAGCCACACAUAUACACACCACACUCACACACAUACACAUACUCAUAAUCACACACAUAUACACACUCAUGCAUAUACACUCAUGCACUCACACCCAAUAGCAUAAAGUAGAUGGAAGAUUCCAUAGGUAAGAAGGCAUCUAAGUAUGAGGGAUGGGUAGGAAAGAAAAACAAAUAUUACAUGUCUCUCCUCAUCUGAAAGAGAACCUAUAGUCUCAUGUAGAACAGUCACUACAGGAGAAAGGGAAGCAGAUAGAGUGUGGAGGAAGACGAGAGUAACAGAGAGCUCUUCUGAGAGAGAGCCAAUAUAAAAUGAUACAUUCUAUCAAAGUAUCACGAUGAAACCCACUGUGCUGAGUGGCGAUGAAAAUAAAGUAAUUUAAAAUUACAAGUUAUCCAGCCACGGUGGUGCGCCUGCUUAAUCCCAGCACUUGAGAGGCAGAGGUGGGUGAAUCUCUGUGAGUUUGGAGCCAGUCUGGUCUACAGAGAGAGUUACACAGGGCUACACAGAGAAAACCUGCCUUAAAAAACAUGACAGACAGGGGUUGGGGAUUUAGCUCAGUGGUAGAGCGCUUGCCUAGCAAGUGCAAGGCCCUGGGUUCGGUCCCCAGCUCUGAAAAAAAGAAAAGAAAAAAAAAACACGACAGACAGACAGCUAUAGA